This is a non-coding RNA of Salmo salar (Atlantic salmon), 72 nucleotides long. The record is from Rfam. NCBI's taxonomy places the organism in Eukaryota, Metazoa, Chordata, Actinopteri, Salmoniformes, Salmonidae.
CCCCCUGUGGCUCAGUUGCUAGAGCAUGGUGUGUGCAACGCCAGGGUUGUGGGUUUGAUUCCCACGGGGGGC